GUGGGAAUUUUGGACAAUGGGCGCAAGCCUGAUCCAGCAAUGCCGCGUGCAGGAAGAAGGCCUUCGGGUUGUAAACUGCUUUUGUACGGAACGAAACGGUCCGGGUUAAUACCCUGGGCUAAUGACGGUACCGUAAGAAUAAGCACCGGCUAACUACGUGCCAGCAGCCGCGGUAAUACGUAGGGUGCAAGCGUUAAUCGGAAUUACUGGGCGUAAAGCGUGCGCAGGCGGUUUUGUAAGACAGGCGUGAAAUCCCCGGGCUCAACCUGGGAAUUGCGCUUGGUACUGCAAGGCUGGAGUGCGGCAGAGGGGGAUGGAAUUCCGCGUGUAGCAGUGAAAUGCGUAGAUAUGCGGAGGAACACCGAUGGCGAAGGCAAUCCCCUGGGCCUGCACUGACGCUCAUGCACGAAAGCGUGGGGAGCAAACAGGAUUAGAUACCCGAGUAGUCC
Molecule: ribosomal RNA, 449 nt
Filed under: uncultured bacterium
Lineage: Bacteria
Description: bacterial SSU rRNA
Rfam family: Bacterial small subunit ribosomal RNA
Source: RNAcentral